Non-coding RNA from Cordylochernes scorpioides, 73 nucleotides. Lineage: Eukaryota; Metazoa; Arthropoda; Arachnida; Pseudoscorpiones; Chernetidae. The record is from the annotation of a GenBank genome assembly.
GCCAAGGUAGCUUAGUGGUAGAACAUUCGCCUGGCUACUGAAAGAUUGCAGGUUCGAAUCCCGUCUCUGUAUU